Molecule: transfer RNA, 87 nt
Filed under: Tissierellia bacterium
Lineage: Bacteria; Bacillati; Bacillota; Tissierellia
Description: tRNA-Leu
Rfam family: tRNA
About the family: Transfer RNA (tRNA) molecules are approximately 80 nucleotides in length.
Source: RNAcentral
GCGGGAAUGGUGGAACUAGGUAGACACGCUAUCUUGAGGGGGUAGUGGGCAUAGCCCGUGAGGGUUCGAGUCCCUCUUCCCGCACCA